AUACAAGCUCUUCAUAAAAAAUUAUAUCUUCUUUUACUUCUUUUUUUGUUUACCUCUUUCUACCUGUCCCAGAUUUCAUCUGACGACACCCACGGUUUAUAUACCAAGAAAAUACCAAAUGAUAUGAGAAAUACUAAUGCUGUUUUUUGCAGAAUGUGUUUUGAUAAAUUAUAUUAAAGGGACACUAUAGUCAUCAAAACAACUUUAGCUUAAUGAAGCAGUUUUGGUGUAUAGAUCAUGCCCAUACAAACCCACUGCUUAAUUCUCUGCCAUUUAGGGGUUAAAUCACUUUGUUUAUAUAGCCCUAGGCACACCUCCCUGCAUGUGACUUAUAGCCUUCAUAAACACUUCCUGUAAAGAGUCAUCUAAUGUUUACACUUCCUUUAUUGCAAAUUCUGUUUAAUUUAGAAUUUCUCAUAUCCUGCUCUGAUAAUAGCUUGCUAGACCCUACAGGAGCCUCCUGUAUGUAAUUAAAGUUUUUAAAGUUGCAUCUGAUUGAAGAAGAAACCCAUUUUGUUUUUGAUGCAGGCUGUGUCAGUCACAUCCAGGGGAGGUGUGGCUAGGGCUGCAUAAAGAGAAACAAACGUGAUUUAACUCCUAAAUGGCAGAGAAUUCAGCAGUGAGACUUCAUAGGCAUGAUCUACACACAAAAACUGCUCCAUUAAGCUCAAGUUGUUUUGGUAACUGUAGUGUCUCUUUAACGUUUUCAAAUGGACUGCUUUUACAGAGUGACACAUAUGUCCUGACCUGCUGUACUAAAAAAGAUGCAUUUAAAAUGUUACUGUCUCUGUGUGUUUGCCCGAAUGAUGCUAUAAUGUAUCUGUGUUCGUAAGAGUGUUUCUAUGCCAUCAUUAAUAAUGGUGUGGUGUUAAAUGACACUGCUUAGGUUAAUGGGGGCUUAAUAGCUGUCAGGGGUAUCUGCAGUCAAUAUGUUGUAUACUGUUACUCCCAUUAAUCUCAGCCAGCCCGAGAGUGAUGUGAUUUAAAGCCGGCAGAUUUUUCAAUAUGCACUCAAGGUUAAAAGACCACUGCACUUUCACAUGCACCACUGUAUCUCCAUGUCACACUACUGUACUUCUACCGAUACAAUCUCAAUACUUUUAGGAUUACAGUACUAAGCUCUAUUGUUACUGUGCUCAGCUAAAUGUUGUGCCAUUUUACAGGGCUGUUCACUAACGCGAGAAUUUAAAGUGAAUUCAAUGUCAAAUUCAAAUUUAGUCAAAAUAGCUCAUCUGUAAAUAUUCCCAAAGUCAACCAUGCUGUCAGUUAGGCUACUCUGGCCUUAACUUUAAAAUGCUCUUUGAAUUCACUUUAAAUUCUCAGUAUGGUAAAUUAUCCCGAAAGUGUCACUAUAAUAACACUCAGCAAUUUAAACUCAACUUUUUUUUAAAUAUGAUCCAGAGACACUGCCCCCCCACCACCCCACCCCCCAAACACACACACACA
Pelobates cultripes (western spadefoot toad) is the source of this 1446-nucleotide non-coding RNA. Lineage: Eukaryota; Metazoa; Chordata; Amphibia; Anura; Pelobatidae. The record is from the annotation of a GenBank genome assembly.